RNAcentral lists this ribosomal RNA (497 nucleotides) under uncultured bacterium. RNAcentral describes it as "partial 16S ribosomal RNA". It matches the Rfam family "Bacterial small subunit ribosomal RNA", at positions 28 to 507 of the family's 1533-position model. The record is from RNAcentral.
GAUGAACGCUGGCGGCGUGCCUAAUACAUGCGAGUCGAGCGAACGGACGAGAAGCUUGCUUCUCUGAUGUUAGCGGCGGACGGGUGAGUAACACGUGGAUAACCUACCUAUAAGACUGGGAUAACUUCGGGAAACCGUAGCUAAUACCGGAUAAUAUUUUGAACCGCAUGGUUCAAAAGUGAAAGACGGUCUUGCUGUCACUUAUAGAUGGAUCCGCGCUGCAUUAGCUAGUUGGUAAGGUAACGGCUUACCAAGGCAACGAUGCAUAGCCGACCUGAGAGGGUGAUCGGCCACACUGGAACUGAGACACGGUCCAGACUCCUACGGGAGGCAGCAGUAGGGAAUCUUCCGCAAUGGGCGAAAGCCUGACGGAGCCACGCCGCGUGAGUGAUGAAGGUCUUCGGAUCGUAAAACUCUGUUAUUAGGGAAGAACAUAUGUGUAAGUAACUGUGCACAUCUUGACGGUACCUAAUCAGAAAGCCACGGCUAACUACGUG